This 610-nucleotide small RNA is filed under the name Pongo abelii (Sumatran orangutan). Its description in RNAcentral is "processed transcript". Lineage: Eukaryota; Metazoa; Chordata; Mammalia; Primates; Hominidae. The record is from RNAcentral.
GAAGUGUAAGCUGUGUCAUCUGAUUUGUCAUGGCAGUGAGCACUCCCUUGCCUUUGAUGAUGCCUCACGUCACCUUUUGCAUAAAGGGAACAACAAAUCAUUUAAUCUUCAGAGCAUCUUAGACUGAAAAACUUUCAACUGUGCUGAAAAACCUAGAAGACAGACCAUUUUUCCCACCCUCUCAUUUAAAAGGAAUUGAAGAAGAAAUAAAAUGGCAGAGGUUUAAGGUUACUAUUCAGGAUGACUGAUGAUAAUUCAGAUGAUAAAAUAGAAGAUGAAUUGCAAACCUUCUUUACCAGUGAUAAAGAUGGAAAUACACAUGCAUACAACCCGAAAUCACCACCUACACAAAAGUCUUCAGCCAGCAGUGUGAAUUGGAAUUCUGCCAACCCAGAUGACAUGGUGGUUGAUUAUGAAACUGACCCUGCUGUGGUUACUGGUGAAAAUAUUUCUUUAAGCCUUCAAGGUGUUGAAGUAUUUGAUCAUGAAAAGUCUUCUAGUGAUUUCACUAGUAAGCAGGUGUUAGAUAUGCAUAAAGAUUCCAUUUGUCAGUCUCCUGCACUUGUAGGUACCGAGAAGCCCAAAUAUCUGCAACACAGUUGUCAUUCCC